GACGAACGCUGGCGGCGUGCUUAACACAUGCAAGUCGAACGGAAAGGCCUGCUUUCCCUUGUGGAUUGCGGGUACUCGAGUGGCGAACGGGUGAGUAACACGUGAGUGAUCUGCCCCCAACUUGGGUAUAAGCCUGGGAAACUGGGUCUAAUUCCCGAUAGGACUGCAGGGUGGUGCCUGUGGUGGAAAACGAUUUUCUAGUGGUUGGGGAUGAGCUGGCGGCCUAUCAGCUUGUUGGUGGGGUAAUGGCCUACCAAGGCGGCGACGGGUAGCCGGCCUGGGAGGGUGGACGGCCACAUUGGGACUGGGAUACGGCCCAGACGCCUACGGGAGGCAGCAGUGGGGAAUAUUGCACCAUGGGCGGAAGCCUGAUGCAGCGACGCCGCGUGGGGGAUGACGGCCUUCGGGUUGUAAACUCCUUUCGACCGCGAGGAAGCCACCUGGUUGGAAGGGUGGUGACGGUAGUGGUAGAAGAAGCACCGGCUAACUACGUG
RNAcentral lists this ribosomal RNA (494 nucleotides) under uncultured bacterium. RNAcentral's name for it is "partial 16S ribosomal RNA". It matches the Rfam family "Bacterial small subunit ribosomal RNA", at positions 28 to 507 of the family's 1533-position model. The record is from RNAcentral.